GCUUACUUACUGAUGUUAUAGAUGGAUGUUAUUCUAUUAGUUUCAACUUUCAAAUUAGUACUACCUGCAAGCAGAAUACUAAAAUAAGUCUGCAUCCUCUUGAAUACAUCACAAGAAACAGGUUAAAGCAUAUAAUAAUACCUCAUCCUCAGUUUCUACCUGAAUUCAAAAGAUUCAUCACAUUAAUGGAAAGUGUAGGAAAUGAGGGAGCCUACAAAAUUGAUAGAAAUCAAGAAAUACCACUCAAACUCCAAAGUAAAAGAGAAAAGAGUACAUGAUUCAACAUUGUUUACUUGAACAAAAGGAACAUCAAAAUGGGCAAAUACUCCUUCAAAAUCAUUUGGUGAUGAACCAUACCUGUGAUUGAUGCUUAUUAGUUUUAGGUAUCAGCUGGCUAAAUAUAAAAUACACAUUUGUAACCCAAAAAGAACAUGAGUCGUGAAAGUGCAAUUCAAUGAGGCAAUCAAUCAAACUUGUAAAAGGAGAAUUAAUUAAAGCUGUAAAAUGUACACAAAAAGUAGUAAAAUAAUAAAAUAAAUGCAUCGAAGAAUGAGAAAAUAACUCACUUCAACAUAUGAGAAUUAUUUCUAUCUUCCAUUCCUCUCAUCAGUCUUGAAUGUAUAAGGUUUUUCUAGGCCAGCCUCAUUAUANNNNN
RNAcentral lists this long non-coding RNA (655 nucleotides) under Trifolium pratense (red clover). Its description in RNAcentral is "long non-coding RNA (TPRA_LNC007517)". The record is from RNAcentral. Lineage: Eukaryota; Viridiplantae; Streptophyta; Magnoliopsida; Fabales; Fabaceae.